AGGAAACUUAUCGCCACAACUAUAGCGAAAAUGCGUUGUUGUAGUGUAGAUGUAUGUAGAGGGGGGGUUGACACGAUCAAAGUACUUUGAUCUAAGUAAGCGCGCAAUCAAAGUAAGUCAUAAAAGUAAAGUUGAUCAAAGUAAGCGCGCGCAUUCACCAGUAGGGAAAUAUUUUUAGGGAAAUGUGACGAUUUAGAAGAAGAUGUUUUUGUUUACAGGGAAUAUGUUUAUUUUGAACCUUUCUUUCAAGAAAUCUAGACGUACUGUACUAAUAGGAUUUGAAAACUUCUCUAUAUUAUCGGGUUGGCAGAAUUUAUUCUUCGUCUCCUCUUCUGCAUUUAAAAUAACCUGCAUUAUAUCACAGCCGGAAAUAAUUACAAGCUUUCAUUUUCUAAAAACCAUAAACAGAAGUAAAAAGAGCAGUAGUGAAAGUGUUCAGAGAAAAAUGUUUUGACCUUAGGGAGCUUUCAUAAUCAUUUAUAACUUUUUAUCUUAAUUUACUUAAUUACCUUGAUUAAUCUUAAUCUUAUCAGGACUUUUAUAAUCUUAAUUAUGUAUUAGUUAUUUUUGUUCUAAAAAUUUUUGGGGGUUAUUGUGGUAGCAAUUUUUAAAAAAAAAAAUUCUUGUACUGGAUCUUUCAUUGGGUUAAUAACAUUUUACUAUGGCCUAUUCAAAAUUGUUAUACAAAAGUUUUUAACUAUAUUUUCUAAACAUUAAAUCUGAGGAAAUUUGCUAUUAUAUAUUCUUUGUAGAUUAAAAUUCAAAUUAUAUUUUUAUUAUUAAACAGUUCAAGAUUCUUUCUUUAAAUGUAAACUUCUUCUAAUUGUUUUAUAUUGUAAAAUUUUAAUGUUGGUACUGCAUAAUGUAUAUGCAUGUUACAUAAAAUAUUUAUAAAUCUUUGGGACAGUUUUCUUCAAUCUUUUUGUUCUUAUUCUCUUCUUUUUAAGUACUAGAAAUUAGUCAAAAUUGUUUAUGGCUGAGAGCUUAUAAAUUUCUUCAUUCAUAGUUUCAGUGUAUUCCAUUAAAAUUAUUUCCUUAAACUAAUAUGUUUAAUUUACUAUAAAAAUUAUUUCAUUCAAUUUAAUAUAUUGUUCUUUCCCAUUUCAAUUGAUUUGUAAUCCAAUGAUGUUUUUACCAAUAAAAUUUUUUAAACUAA
Molecule: long non-coding RNA, 1156 nt
Organism: Parasteatoda tepidariorum (common house spider)
Lineage: Eukaryota; Metazoa; Arthropoda; Arachnida; Araneae; Theridiidae
Source: RefSeq, a predicted model, not a curated record